Cyprinus carpio carpio is the source of this 3273-nucleotide long non-coding RNA. Lineage: Eukaryota; Metazoa; Chordata; Actinopteri; Cypriniformes; Cyprinidae. The record is from Ensembl.
AAUUAGUGUACUUUCCGUUGUGCAGGUUCACUUUUAGUGUUAUGCUUUGCAAUUCGACAGAAUUAGAGGCCACAAUCUUUCUGUGACUAUUGCGCGGUCGUUUGUAACAUCGCAUUGACUUAAAGCUUAAUUGAAAAUAUUACACACACUUCUUCAUAUAAACGAGGCAACACCAACUUUUCCACGCGUCUCCCUUAAUGAUCUCCCUAAACAUUGUACGCAAAAGAACCCCAACAUGUGCAAAGCAACUACCGGCUUAAAGAUCAUAUAUAGGCUAGUGGUGCGCAUCUACCACGGAAUCCAUUGGCAAAUGAGUUUUUCACAAUGCCUGGCGACUGCAAGGAGUGGUUCCGCUCUGGGAAACCGGGGCUAUGGUCACUUGCAGCGCGGACACUGUCCGUCUUUCACCUAUUUAGCCCGAGCCAUUUUCAUUAGCGCGAGGCUGUCUGCUAGCACAACAGGGACGGUUGUAAUCAGCAGCCAUAAACUGUGAAGUGGGAGAACCUAAACGUGACGUCAAUGCCUAGUAACUGACGCAGCCCUUUAAAAAAAAGAGAGAUAGAGAGAGAGAGAGAUUCUGCAAGCAUUAAUUAUCGUCGUUUGUGUACUGCUCUAAAGACAAAACAUAUUCCGCUCGCAGUGCGAUUGAUUACGAUUGUUUGCGCGCGCGGCUCCGUCUGUGUGUGUCUCUGUGUGAGUGUGUGCGUGCGUGCGUAUGUUUUUUAUGAGCAGCGAAUCCGUCCCGAGUUUCCAAGCUAAAGUUGCAUGGAGACACGCCGCGUAAGACGCGUAUAAUAAAGAGGAUGGUGAGCAACAUAAAGGAGCGAGGAGAGCGAGAACAACUUGUGCUGAGAAAGCGAACCUUUAAGAAAUAUUUAGCCCAUAAGAGAGAGGGUCACUGAAGCAGUUCGUUUGAAAAAAAAAAAAAAGAAGAAAUUCACUGCAGCGAUGCAUCGGAGGCGAGUCAGAUGGAGUUGGCGAGGCAAAAUUAAUAAAUAGGCAGAGGGUAUCACUUGUAUAAAAAGGACUGCGAUUCUGAGAAAACUUGGACAUGUUGCUAAGGAUAGAUAUGAAUCAAGGGCAGUAUUUGAUUUUCAUCUUGCUUGUUGUUUUUGUCACGUAUGAUGGUUUUAUACUCAUGUCUGUGUUUUCCCUGCUUUCAGCCUAGGGCUUCCUGCACUGGGCAGGACAGAACUUGAGGCAUCCACCGUGUCAAGUACAGAGGGUGAAUGAACGCUCGACUCACAGAACGAUCCCAGACGGUGUUGCUCGUGACAAAAUCUGCUGAUGAUUGGAGGUCUAUGGAAAAGUGAGAUGUGAAGCGAACUGGCUGUAUUCCUCAUGGAAGCAGAGGAAAGGCUGACAGGCAUGGAAGAUGAUGGAAGAAAAAGGAGGGGUUUACCAAUAAAUAAGGAUACAAAUAUGGGAAAACGUUACCUUGUAUCCUGCACACAAGAUCAACGUCGAACCAACGUCUGUUAGACUGCUGUACACCUGUAAAUGGAUAUUAAGCAAGUUGAUUACUUUGUAGGAACAACAUAACAUCGUCAGGUAUUUGCAAUAUCUGUCUGUAAACUACCUGGGUUUAAUAAAUGAGCCGGACUUGCUUACGUGUCACGUGCACACGUGAGACUCAUGAGCUGCGAGACGUAAGGAAAUAUGACAAUGAUGUAGUACGUAUUUGAGCUUAAAAAAUGUUUACUUGCACAUAAAACCAUGUAUAGAUACAUUUGUUGUAAUUAUUUACCUUAAUUAGUGAAAUUGUGUAGACGAGAUGCACAUGAACGCUUGUGUUGAGUCGUGUUGCUUUAGUUCUCAAAGACAUGAAGGCAAACACAUACUGAUUUAAUCUUAUUUGUUCUAAUUAAAUCAUAGCCUAUAUGUAGCUUCAAAUGGAUUUGUUGUGACUGUGAUAAUAAGAACUUGUGCGUAACGCGAGCGUCUGCAGACUUGUGUGAAAAUUACAGGCGCGAGUUUUAGCUUGUGGUGCUUUAUAAUUGUUAGGGUUACAUAUUCGUGAGAUCUUAAUAGCUUGUUUAACAUGUUGAAUGGAGCUGCAGACGGAGAGUUGGAGCUGUCAGGCGUUUUCUGUGCACGCUCUGCUGCUGCUGACGUAUCACUCCCACGGCCCAAGUGAGUUUAGGACUCAAAUAAUGCUGUGUUCUAUUAGUUCUUUAGCUAAAUAUGUUUAUUAUAUCGUAUAUGUGUAAUAAGGUUUCAUAACUAGUGUUUAGGGAGCAUUUUGAACACAGUAAAUGUGAAAUAUGACUUGUUGGGACUGGGAGUUAUCAAAGGGUCAAAUGGGUUGGGUCCUGCGGGGGGGCGGGGGGGGGGGGUAUGAUGUCGAAAUUAUAUGUUUUAAAGUUUGUCUAAGCAAAAGAUAAUUAAGUAAAAUAUCUAUAUUUUGCAUCAGUUAUUAUUUUGUAGUAUAUAAAUUACAAAAAAAUAAAUAUAAUAACUGAUAAUGCACUAUGUAGCCUAGCUAUCGGAUUGCUUGUGCCUUACGUAACUUUUAUUUUUAUUGCUUCAUAAUUAUAGUAUUUUCUGCUUUGCUGUUACUGUAUAUCAUACAACCCAAAACGUGCUUAACAGUUUGAGCUGAACUGAGUAAUUUGAGUAAAGUGUGGUUGCUGCAGUGUGCACGACGUGAGAGCGUAACGUGCGAGUUCUGCAUUUCUGAGUAUUUGAAUGACAUUUCUGUAUAGUGCACAGAGAAAAAUAUGCUGCAUUAACUAUUCGACCCUGACUAAUUGUUUAGCUAUUUCAUUACAUGAAACAAGAUGUGCAUGUGGUGUGAGAAAUAUGUGAUUUGAUUAUGUUGCAAAAUCUAAAAGCUGGAAGUUUGUCGUUCAGGUGACAAAGAAAAAAAAAAUGACUCACGUAUUUUGUAAUCAAACUGCUGGCUUUCUGUAUUCUCUAUUACAUGUCAGAGAAAAUAAAAUGUUUGGAGUUAUUUUAGAGUCUGCUUGCUUAUUUGUAUGUUUUUAAGUGUGGGGGGAUCUGGAAAAUGAACACUAUGGCUACUAUAUGUGACGUGCUGAAAACACUUGUGUGUGUUUAGAGCCUGUAGGAUAUAUAAAAUAAAAAAGUCAAAUGUAGCGCGAGGGAGGCAAUGCAUAGAAAGAAAGGUUUCCACAGCCAGAGUAGCCUAUCUUACAAUUAAAAUUACAGACAUUAAAAUGUUUUUCUUGACGACGCCAAUGCUUUUUUCUACUAAACAGCAUGUGGUUUACAUGUUACGUGUGUUACUUGAAUUAUUCACGCAUCGGUGGG